Molecule: ribosomal RNA, 588 nt
Filed under: Astyanax bimaculatus (twospot astyanax)
Lineage: Eukaryota; Metazoa; Chordata; Actinopteri; Characiformes; Acestrorhamphidae
Description: partial 16S large subunit ribosomal RNA
Rfam family: Bacterial large subunit ribosomal RNA
Source: RNAcentral
AAAAACAUCGCCUCCUGCAAAAAUCAAUGUAUAAGAGGUCCUACCUGCCCAGUGAUAAAUUAAACGGCCGCGGUAUUUUGACCGUGCAAAGGUAGCGCAAUCACUUGUUUUUUAAAUAAAGACCUGUAUGAAUGGUGAAACGAGGGCUUAACUGUCUCCCUUUUCUGAUCAGUGAAAUUGAUCUACCCGUGCAGAAGCGGGUAUAAAAAUACAAGACGAGAAGACCCUAUGGAGCUUAAGACACAAAAUCAUCUAUGUUAAGUACCCCCAUUAAAAGAAUAAAACAAAACAGCAACUGAUUAGCGUCUUCGGUUGGGGCGACCACGGGGGAAAACCAAUCCCCCACGUGGAACGGGACAAAUCCUAGAACCAUGAGGUACACCUCUAAGUCACAGAACCUCUGACCAAAUGAUCCGGCAAAUAGCCGAUCAACGAACCAAGUUACCCUAGGGAUAACAGCGCAAUCCCCUCCAAGAGUUCAUAUCGACAAGGGGGUUUACGACCUCGAUGUUGGAUCAGGACAUCCUAAUGGUGCAGCCGCUAUUAAGGGUUCGUUUGUUCAACGAUUAAAGUCCUACGUGAUCUGAG